Long non-coding RNA from Sapajus apella (tufted capuchin), 147 nucleotides. RefSeq lists it as uncharacterized. The record is from RefSeq and is a predicted model, not a curated record. NCBI's taxonomy places the organism in Eukaryota, Metazoa, Chordata, Mammalia, Primates, Cebidae. The transcript has 3 exons.
AUUAAGCAACAUUAUAAGGAUUCAAACAGAGGCUGGGCGUGUUUGCUCACACCUAUAAUCCCAGCACUUUGGGAGGCCGAGUCAGGCAGAUCACUUGAGGUCAGGAGUUGGAGACAAGCCUGGCCAACAUGCUGAAACCCCAUCUCU